This is a non-coding RNA of Pelobates cultripes (western spadefoot toad), 2916 nucleotides long. The record is from the annotation of a GenBank genome assembly. Lineage: Eukaryota; Metazoa; Chordata; Amphibia; Anura; Pelobatidae.
UUUUUUUUUUUUUUUUUUUUUUUUUUUUGUACCAGCAUCAUAUACCACUGUGUACCUACAGUCUUCACUUAUCCGGUGCUAUGUGAAAGUUCUGCUAGAUGGGUAUAUCAGAAUGUGAAAUGCAAGGAUGAAAAUUAGAUGCCCACUGAUUUUUAUUUUUUUUUAAUUUUUUUUAUUUAGAGAUUUAAGCAGAUUUCAUAUGGAAGCCUUAGAUGGAUUCUCAGUUUUUAUUUUCCAUUAGCAGGUUGUAAAGCAAUUUUUAUAUAUAAAUAUAUUGAAAAGAAAACAAUAAGAAAAAAAAAAACUUGUACCUAGCACAGUAUUGGCAUAGAAUUACAUGUAACAUAUUUUAUAUGGUAAUUAUUGUUUUUUCUAUUAUUAUUAUUAUUUUGUUAAACCUUUUAUGUGACUCUUGAUGGUCUGAUUUGUGGUAAAGGCUCUGUUCCAGCUAGAUAAAACAUUAACGCAUUAAGGACAAUUAAAGGGAUUUCACAAUUUUACAUUAAAACUGACCAUGUACAUGCUUUAAAGCAAUAGUACAGUCUGUCUUGUUUUUGGAAGGGGGGUUAACUUUCAGUGUUAUUCAUGAAAGAGUGAAUUCUAGGAAUUGAGUUUCAGGUCACAUUAAUUUUGAAAAGUAGCCGAUUUAGGAGCAUUUUUCCAUUUGGCUGUUUUGGCUUUUAUUUUGAAAUUCACUUUGAAUUCUAAAACAAUGCACGCUUUAGUGAGAUAAUAUACAAAUCGUUUAUCUUCCUUCCUUUAAUUAGGCAAUUAAUCCAUUCAAUCUUUCUACAUUUUGACAACAAUUGGUCAUGUUUUUGCUCUUAAAAGCAUAAUUCAGACUUUUGGCAAUAUCAAACCAUAGUAAACUUUAUUUUGGCAGAUUUCCAGAGAAAGCAUAACAUGCAGUCAUCUGCACAAGAUGUGUACAAAACAAUCCUAGUAUGAAACAGAUGUCAGGAGAAGGUGGGGUUACAAAUAUUUCUCAUUGCACUUGCAGGCUAAGACACACAUAGCCAACAUGCAAGUCAUACAAGGUUGCAGAUGUUGCUGGCAGGUUUACUUUCUGGAGGGAAACCUUUCUAACGGUGCACUUCUAGUGCAUAGUCUGCAUUUCCAAAUCAAAUGAAAUUGCUUUAAUUUGGUAAUGUAAGAGUUAGUUUUUUUUGUUUGUUUUUGUCUUUACAUUUUCAGUAUAUUCUUUUGAGACAAAAAUAUCAUAGCACAAAAUGUUUAGACCAGCAACCUGGUCUAUUACAAAUCCUUUCUAAAAAUAAAUGUCCCAAUGGAACUGCAUAUACUAAAUAGGUACCAGUAUAUUUUCCUUUUUAUUGCUCUGUAGAGGUGUGUGAUGACUGCAAUGAAUGACAUUAAAGUGUGUCCCCGUCUUAAGAUUUUGCUUAAUUUGCAAAGAACACCGAUGGUGACAUUGCUGGCAUUGGGGCUGAGGGGGACAGGCAAAGGUAAGUUGGCCUUACCUGAUCCUGUCCCUAACAGGUGCUACCAUCUUCUGGCCAGUCCUAUCCUGCUCAUGGUGCUUUGGCAUCAGGUGCCGAAGUCACGAAGUGUGUUGGAAUAUCAGUGAAAUUCCAGCACAGUCAAUAUGAGUAUUUAAUAAAGAUUCCUAAAACUCUUCCAAAAUGGCAAAUAGCCUUUAUGUGUGUCACAUGACUAUUGCCCUGACUGGCCCUGAGAAAACAGCAAUUUGAAAAGAAUCCGUUCCGAGCUGACUUUGGGCAUUCAUAGGCUUUUGAUUUGAGAAUGUUACAAAUUCUGUAUUUAGUUAUAAAAUAAGUGCUAUUGAACAGAGUAGGUGGAACAUUAUCUUUAAACCGCAGACCUUUUUUCCAAGGAAAAGUUAAAUUGUGAGCACGUUUGCAGCAGGCGAAUAAGCUUUUUUUUUUUUUUUUUGGACAGAAUUCACAAGUACAUUUCAAGUUCUGCUAUAACUUUUAAAGGUCACCAUAAGCAUGGGUCCAUAUUUUCUGAGGGAGUGGGGAGGGGUUUGACGCCUGCUAUACAUUUUUAUUAAGUUAGUUAUGAAAGGGGCAGCAGUUAAACGUGGGGGGAGGGGGGAGAUAAAGUACAGUGUUCAGGCUGAACUGUAAUAGUUUGUAUAUUCAACAUUUGAAGUAUAUUCUAUUUUGUUGUACUCUUGUUUCAAAGUGUAUUCAAGUAGAUUUUACUGCAAUAUAGAAAAUGAAUUUGGUCUGUGUCCUGUCCUUGUUUUGUUCUUCCACUUAAAGUGUAUAAAUCUUUACGCCAAAGUUCCUCAACCUGUGGCAUGUACUUUUACCCAGUGGGGGUCUUAUGAAGGGAUUAGGGGGACCCUUGCUUAAUAUUAUUGCAAAUUUUUAUUUUUGCUACAGUAAGUAUUAGGAGUUUCCAUUAAAGAUGGAUGUUUGAUUUGUAGCAAGUGGUAUUGAGUUAAAAGUUGCAUUAUUUAGUCUAAUCUAGUGGUUCCCAACCCCGUCCUCAAGUACCCCUUAACAGUCCAGCAUUUAGGGAUUACCCAGUUGUCUAAGGUGUUUUCAGAAAGUAGAAAAUAAAUACUUUAGACCCAUCAGGGCAAUCCCUAAAUCCUGGACUGUUAGGGGUUCACUUCAGGACUGGUUUGGGAACCCUUGGUCUAAUCCUACACUUUCUGCUAUCACCAAACAGAACCCAUAUAAGCUACUACAUCAAUGAUCGUUUGACUUGUCUGCUCUACCUUUUAUUUUAAGUUGAAUACAAUUUAAAGACUGAAGCACGGUUUGGAGUGAUAAAAGGAAAAAAGUAAUGAAAUUUAAAACAUUUUGUUUUUUAAUGAUUUGAGAUAAGCAGUGAUUUAGAUUUCAAACACAUGGUAAAACUACUAAAUAUUAAAAGACCCAGUUGCGCUAGCAGUCGCAUGCUAUAGCCAAGCAAAGGUUUGAG